Molecule: long non-coding RNA, 331 nt
Filed under: Monodelphis domestica (gray short-tailed opossum)
Lineage: Eukaryota; Metazoa; Chordata; Mammalia; Didelphimorphia; Didelphidae
Description: lncRNA (ENSMODG00000033684.2)
Source: RNAcentral
GGCAGCGUUCUCUUUUGCAGAAGUACCACUCAGCCGUUUCAUGUGAUGGCACCAUUUAAUAUGCAGUGGAGAAACAGGCUACCGAGAAGAAGCUAAGGUCUCUCCAUCUUCAACUGCAUCCCCACCAGGAACCUAUAUAGUUGUUUAAGUUCUAACCUGAGGUUGAGGCUUCCCACACAGGGAAAGAGCUGUUGUUCCUAAGGAGUCGAGCAACCCAUCCAUCUGUUCCUAGACAACUCCAAGAGCAGUUAUCCUGGAUUUGUACUGGCACAGGAAAUUCCUUCUUGGCAGCUCUUUAAUCACAGAUUUGGCCAUUAUUAAUUACUAAUAA